GCCUGGGUGGCUCAGUCGGUUGAGCGACUGACUUCGGCUCAGGUCAGGAUCUCACAGUUCGCUGGUUCAAGCCCCGCGUCAGGCU
Molecule: transfer RNA, 85 nt
Filed under: Felis catus (domestic cat)
Lineage: Eukaryota; Metazoa; Chordata; Mammalia; Carnivora; Felidae
Also listed under: 2 other names
Rfam family: tRNA
About the family: Transfer RNA (tRNA) molecules are approximately 80 nucleotides in length. Their secondary structure includes four short double-helical elements and three loops (D, anti-codon, and T loops). Further hydrogen bonds mediate the characteristic L-shaped molecular structure. tRNAs have two regions of fundamental functional importance: the anti-codon, which is responsible for specific mRNA codon recognition, and the 3' end, to which the tRNAs corresponding amino acid is attached (by aminoacyl-tRNA synthetases). tRNAs cope with the degeneracy of the genetic code in two manners: having more than one tRNA (with a specific anti-codon) for a particular amino acid; and 'wobble' base-pairing, i.e. permitting non-standard base-pairing at the 3rd anti-codon position.
Source: Rfam by way of RNAcentral